GACGAACGCUGGCGGCGUGCUUAACACAUGCAAGUCGAACGCUGAAGCCUGGUGCUUGCACCGGGUGGAUGAGUGGCGAACGGGUGAGUAAUACGUGAGUGACCUGCCUUUGACUCUGGGAUAAGCCUGGGAAACUGGGUCUAAUACCGGAUGCGACUACUGCCCGCAUGGGCUGGUGGUGGAAAGGGUUAUGUACUGGUCUUAGAUGGGCUCACGGCCUAUCAGCUGGUUGGUGGGGUAAUGGCCUACCAAGGCGACGACGGGUAGCCGGCCUGAGAGGGUGACCGGCCACACUGGGACUGAGACACGGCCCAGACUCCUACGGGAGGCAGCAGUGGGGAAUAUUGCACAAUGGGCGCAAGCCUGAUGCAGCGACGCCGCGUGAGGGAUGACGGCCUUCGGGUUGUAAACCUCUUUCAGCAGGGAAGAAGCGGAAGUGACGGUACCUGCAGAAGAAGCGCCGGCUAACUACGUGCCAGCAGCCGCGGUAAUACGUAGGGCGCAAGCGUUGUCCGGAAUUAUUGGGCGUAAAGAGCUCGUAGGCGGCUUGUCGCGUCUGCUGUGAAAGCCCGGGGGCUUAACUCCGGGUGUGCAGUGGGUACGGGCAGGCUAGAGUGCAGUAGGGGUAACUGGAAUUCCUGGUGUAGCGGUGAAAUGCGCAGAUAUCAGGAGGAACACCGAUGGCGAAGGCAGGUUACUGGGCUGUUACUGACGCUGAGGAGCGAAAGCAUGGGGAGCGAACAGGAUUAGAUACCCUGGUAGUCCAUGUCGUAAACGUUGGGCACUAGGUGUGGGGGACAUUCCACGUUUUCCGCGCCGUAGCUAACGCAUUAAGUGCCCCGCCUGGGGAGUACGGCCGCAAGGCUAAAACUCAAAGGAAUUGACGGGGGCCCGCACAAGCGGCGGAGCAUGCGGAUUAAUUCGAUGCAACGCGAAGAACCUUACCAAGGCUUGACAUACACCGGAUCGUUCCAGAGAUGGUUCUUCCCUUUUGGGCUGGUGUACAGGUGGUGCAUGGUUGUCGUCAGCUCGUGUCGUGAGAUGUUGGGUUAAGCCCCGCAACGAGCGCAACCCUCGUUCUAUGUUGCCAGCACGUGAUGGUGGGGACUCAUAGGAGACUGCCGGGGUCAACUCGGAGGAAGGUGGGGAUGACGUCAAAUCAUCAUGCCCCUUAUGUCUUGGGCUUCACGCAUGCUACAAUGGCCGGUACAAUGGGUUGCGAUACUGUGAGGUGGAGCUAAUCCCAAAAAGCCGGUCUCAGUUCGGAUUGGGGUCUGCAACUCGACCCCAUGAAGUCGGAGUCGCUAGUAAUCGCAGAUCAGCAACGCUGCGGUGAAUACGUUCCCGGGCCU
Molecule: ribosomal RNA, 1352 nt
Filed under: uncultured bacterium
Lineage: Bacteria
Description: bacterial SSU rRNA
Rfam family: Bacterial small subunit ribosomal RNA
Source: RNAcentral